Molecule: non-coding RNA, 111 nt
Organism: Pelobates cultripes (western spadefoot toad)
Lineage: Eukaryota; Metazoa; Chordata; Amphibia; Anura; Pelobatidae
Source: the annotation of a GenBank genome assembly
GGUUAGGUUAGGGUUAGGGAUAGGGAUAGGUUAGAGUUAGGGGUAGGGGUAGGGUUAAGGUUACCUUACCCUUACACUAACCCUACCCCAACCCUUAACCCUUACCGUACC